GACGAACGCUGGCGGCGUGCCUAAUACAUGCAAGUAGAACGCUGAAGAGAGGAGCUUGCUCUUCUUGGAUGAGUUGCGAACGGGUGAGUAACGCGUAGGUAACCUGCCUUGUAGCGGGGGAUAACUAUUGGAAGCGAUAGCUAAUACCGCAUAACAAUGGAUGACACAUGUCAUUUAUUUGAAAGGGGCAAUUGCUCCACUACAAGAUGGACCUGCGUUGUAUUAGCUAGUAGGUGAGGUAAUGGCUCACCUAGGCGACGAUACAUAGCCGACCUGAGAGGGUGUUCGGCCACACUGGGAAUGGGACACGGCCCAGACUCCUACGGGAGGCAGCAGUAGGGAAUCCUCGGCAAUGGGGGCAACCCUGACCGAGCAACGCCGCGGGAGUGAAGAAGGUUUUCGGAUCGUAAAGCUCUGUUGUAAGUCAAGAACGGGUGUGAGAGUGGAAAGUUCACACUGUGACGGUAGCUUACCAGAAAGGGACGGCUAACUACGUG
RNAcentral lists this ribosomal RNA (497 nucleotides) under uncultured bacterium. RNAcentral's name for it is "partial 16S ribosomal RNA". It matches the Rfam family "Bacterial small subunit ribosomal RNA", at positions 28 to 507 of the family's 1533-position model. The record is from RNAcentral.